Molecule: ribosomal RNA, 468 nt
Filed under: uncultured bacterium
Lineage: Bacteria
Description: partial 16S ribosomal RNA
Rfam family: Bacterial small subunit ribosomal RNA
Source: RNAcentral
GACGAACGCUGGCGGCGUGCUUAACACAUGCAAGUCGAACGGAAAGACCCUGCUUUUGUGGGGUGCUCGAGUGGCGAACGGGUGAGUAACACGUGAGUAACCUGCCCUUGACUUUGGGAUAACUUCAGGAAACUGGGGCUAAUACCGGAUAGGAGCUCCUGCUGCAUGGUGGGGGUUGGAAAGUUUCGGCGGUUGGGGAUGGACUCGCGGCUUAUCAGCUUGUUGGUGGGGUAGUGGCUUACCAAGGCUUUGACGGGUAGCCGGCCUGAGAGGGUGACCGGCCACAUUGGGACUGAGGUACGGCCCAGACUCCUACGGGAGGCAGCAGUGGGGAAUAUUGCACAAUGGGCGGAAGCCUGAUGCAGCAACGCCGCGUGCGGGAUGACGGCCUUCGGGUUGUAAACCGCUUUCGCCUGUGACGAAGCGUGAGUGACGGUAAUGUGUAAAGAAGCACCGGCUAACUACGUG